GACUGUGUAGUCAAAUUAUGAUACUAAAUUGCAAGUUUAGAGUUAAAGUUAUUUUACAGUCU
This 62-nucleotide transfer RNA is filed under the name Scolytinae sp. BMNH 1040351. Its description in RNAcentral is "tRNA-Cys". The record is from RNAcentral. Lineage: Eukaryota; Metazoa; Arthropoda; Insecta; Coleoptera; Curculionidae.